This 318-nucleotide ribosomal RNA is filed under the name Triticum aestivum (bread wheat). RNAcentral describes it as "partial small subunit ribosomal RNA". The record is from RNAcentral. Lineage: Eukaryota; Viridiplantae; Streptophyta; Magnoliopsida; Poales; Poaceae.
AUGUGUGAUCCUCUUGGUAUUAACGAUGUCGACAUUCCCAUAACCGAAGAUAAUAUGUGCGAUAUUCUUGGUAUCAACGAUGAGGUGGUCCCUGAGCCACCACCUUCUCCACCUAGUGAGGAAGUUUACAUGACCGAUGAGGAGGACCGUCAGCUUUUCAUUGAGGCUGCCAUUCCCGUGGAUGAUAGUGUGCCACCAGAUGAGGAGAUUGCAUAUGACAAAGAGAACCCGCAGAUGUAUCUUGGUGCUUUGUUUCCUUCAAUGAAAGAUUUUAGGAUGGCUAUCAGACAAUAUCUCUACUACCUAAAAGAAACCUAA